GACGAACGCGGGCGGCGUGCUUAACACAUGCAAGUCGAACGGUAAGGCCCUUCGGGGUACACGAGUGGCGAACGGGUGAGUAACACGUGGGUGAUCUGCCCUGCACUUCGGGAUAAGCCUGGGAAACUGGGUCUAAUACCGGAUAGGACUCCGGACUGCAUGGUCUGGGGUGGAAAGCUUUUGCGGUGUGGGAUGGGCCCGCGGCCUAUCAGCUUGUUGGUGGGGUGAUGGCCUCCCGAGGCGACGACGGGUAGCCGGCCUGAGAGGGUGACCGGCCACACUGGGACUGAGAUACGGCCCAGACUCCUACGGGAGGCAGCAGUGGGGAAUAUUGCACAAUGGGCGCAAGCCUGAUGCAGCGACGCCGCGUGAGGGAUGACGGCCUUCGGGUUGUAAACCUCUUUCAGCAUCGACGAAGCGAAAGUGACGGUAGGUGCAGAAGAAGGACCGGCCAACUACGUGCCAGCCGCCGCCGUAA
Molecule: ribosomal RNA, 478 nt
Filed under: uncultured bacterium
Lineage: Bacteria
Description: partial 16S ribosomal RNA
Rfam family: Bacterial small subunit ribosomal RNA
Source: RNAcentral